Molecule: ribosomal RNA, 788 nt
Filed under: uncultured Lactobacillus sp.
Lineage: Bacteria; Bacillati; Bacillota; Bacilli; Lactobacillales; Lactobacillaceae
Description: bacterial SSU rRNA
Rfam family: Bacterial small subunit ribosomal RNA
Source: RNAcentral
GACGAACGCUGGCGGCGUGCCUAAUACAUGCAAGUCGAGCGAGCUUGCCUAGAUGAAUUUGGUGCUUGCACCAAAUGAAACUAGAUACAAGCGAGCGGCGGACGGGUGAGUAACACGUGGGUAACCUGCCCAAGAGACUGGGAUAACACCUGGAAACAGAUGCUAAUACCGGAUAACAACACUAGACGCAUGUCUAGAGUUUAAAAGAUGGUUCUGCUAUCACUCUUGGAUGGACCUGCGGUGCAUUAGCUAGUUGGUAAGGUAACGGCUUACCAAGGCAAUGAUGCAUAGCCGAGUUGAGAGACUGAUCGGCCACAUUGGGACUGAGACACGGCCCAAACUCCUACGGGAGGCAGCAGUAGGGAAUCUUCCACAAUGGACGCAAGUCUGAUGGAGCAACGCCGCGUGAGUGAAGAAGGGUUUCGGCUCGUAAAGCUCUGUUGGUAGUGAAGAAAGAUAGAGGUAGUAACUGGCCUUUAUUUGACGGUAAUUACUUAGAAAGUCACGGCUAACUACGUGCCAGCAGCCGCGGUAAUACGUAGGUGGCAAGCGUUGUCCGGAUUUAUUGGGCGUAAAGCGAGUGCAGGCGGUUCAAUAAGUCUGAUGUGUAAGCCUUCGGCUCAACCGGAGAAUUGCAUCAGAAACUGUUGAACUUGAGUGCAGAAGAGGAGAGUGGAACUCCAUGUGUAGCGGUGGAAUGCGUAGAUAUAUGGAAGAACACCAGUGGCGAAGGCGGCUCUCUGGUCUGCAACUGACGCUGAGGCUCGAAAGCAUGGGUAGCGAACAGG